This 490-nucleotide ribosomal RNA is filed under the name uncultured bacterium. RNAcentral describes it as "bacterial SSU rRNA". It matches the Rfam family "Bacterial small subunit ribosomal RNA", at positions 791 to 1289 of the family's 1533-position model. The record is from RNAcentral.
UAGUCUACGCCGUAAACGAUGUACACUUGGUGUCUGCAGAGAAUGUAGGUGCCGUAGCUAACGUGUUAAGUGUACCGCCUGGGGAGUACGGUCGCAAGACUGAAACUCAAAGGAAUUGACGGGGGCCCGCACAAGCAGUGGAGUAUGUGGUUUAAUUCGAGGCAACGCGAAGAACCUUACCAGGGCUUGACAUCGCCUGACAGCGCUAGAGAUAGCGUGUCUCUUCGGAGCAGGUAGACAGGUGGUGCAUGGUUGUCGUCAGCUCGUGUCGUGAGAUGUUGGGUUAAGUCCCGCAACGAGCGCAACCCUUGCCGUUAUUUGCCAUCAUUAAGUUGGGCACUCUAUCGGGACUGCCGGUGAUAAAUCGGAGGAAGGUGGGGAUGACGUCAAAUCAUCAUGCCCCUUAUGUCCUGGGCUACACACGUACUACAAUGGCCACUACAAUGGGAAGCAAGAUCGCGAGAUGGAGCAAAUCCCCAAAGGUGGCCCC